Long non-coding RNA from Neofelis nebulosa (Clouded leopard), 10041 nucleotides. RefSeq lists it as uncharacterized. NCBI's taxonomy places the organism in Eukaryota, Metazoa, Chordata, Mammalia, Carnivora, Felidae. The record is from RefSeq and is a predicted model, not a curated record. The transcript is spliced from 2 exons.
AUCACUAUAUUGUACACCUGAAACUAGUAUUACUGUAUGUUAACUAACUGGAAUUUAAAUUAAAGCAUUAAAAAUUUUUAAAUUAAAAUGACCUUGUUUAGAAGUAGUAAGCUACUUAGUUUGCCACUACUAGUAUAAAUAAUAGAGCAGGGAUUAAAUGUUAUAAAUAUGAAGAUUAAGGCUCAGAGGGAUUAAAUGUUGACUCUCUUCCUUUCAGACCUAGUUUGGCCAUUAGGAAUAAAAACCUUCUCAAAGUUGUUCAACAACAACAACAACAACAACAAAAACUGGUAUUGGUUCACAUUCUUGAAAGAGAAUCAUAUUGCCCCAGUAUAUCUACCUAUCAAGCUGUACUUGAUUGCUGGUCCAUCCAGUCACUAUGGCCAUGGGGUCGCAUUCUCAUAAUAUAGAUAUGAACACCUUCAUCAGGGACUACCAAUUGAAAUGGCUGAGUUGUAGGCAUCCUAGAACACAUCUCCUAGUUUAUGCCAGGCCCACAGUCAGUGAGUGGUGGAGUCAGAGAACCUAAUGAGAAAGAAAAAUCAAUACACCUGAUGGCUGAAGAAUCAAAAUGAAUUCCUAGAUAUUGAGCCUGAGAGACUGGGAAAAAUGAAGUCGCCAGAAACAGAAAUGAGGAGGUGGGAAACAGGAAUUAGUGGUAAGGAAGAGAAUGGGUUUGUUGGAAUAGUUUGAGUGUGAGCUGAAAUGAUCAUGAUAAGGAAAUAAAACCAGAAAUAAAAAUGGUGUAGUCCACAACCUUAAGUAUAAUUGGUGAUCAAAACAUUAGUUGUCUUCCACCAUCCCUUAAUUCAAUCCUGCCUCUUACACUUUUCCACUUAUUCUUGAUAGACAGUCCUAUUGUCAUAUUACAUUGCAAACAGCCUCAAUACAAUAAUUAGAAUGUCCAGUUCAGUGCAAUACUCAAAUUUCUGAACUUAAUUUAGCAUCACAUCUUUUCCCCACCCCUACCCUUCCUACCCCCCACCCCAAAAUCCUGCUUCAAGUUGGGGUGAGGAAAGGGACUUGGCCUUCUGGUUACAUUCUCCUUCACUUGCUACCUGAAGACUUGCUUUCCCUAGGGAUUAAAGUUGGGUGGGGAGCGGGGAACAGACAGAAUGAAGAAGAGAGGAGAGGUGAAGAGAUAAAACAGUUCUUUAUUUACUUGUAUGGCUUCAAGUUUGCCAGUCUUAGUAGACAAUUAAAGCUGAUAUAUCCCUGAAUCAGACUGGCAGAUGAUUAAAGUUGAUACUUUCUUUCAAAGUGCCCUUUAAAGAUCUCCUGCUGGGCUCCUCUCUACUGCUGCUCUCCUAAAAAGGUUGUAGGGUUAGAAGUGUUGGAAUAUAUUACAGUUUCUUCCUCAGCCCCUUGUCAUUAGCUGAUACACCUUUAUCUUUUUUCCACUGGGGUCUCCUUGCCUCUCACAAAUGUCCCCUUGAUGGCUUUCUCUCCUGCAUGGCCCCUUCUGGUCCUCAAGAAACACUCAGAUAUUUAUUAUUGACCAUUUCAAACACAUCAUAAGCUUAAAAAGUAGUCUCAUAAUAGAAUAAUGAGGACCCAUCAGAUAGCUCUAAUGGAGAAUAAUCAAUAAUCCUCCAUUCUUAUUUAGUUAAUCCCCAUUCCAAUCCCACUAAAUUUUUGAUGUUGUUGCUGGAGUAUUUGAAGGAUGUAAUUUCUCCCAUAAAUACCUUAGUAUCCAUUCUCUCUGAAUUCACUGUUCUACGGUUUCAUCUUUCUUUCUCCUACCCCUCCCCUUACUCUUCCCCACACAUAUCUUUACACACAUAUUCUAUCAAAACUGUUCUAACAAGGUAGCAUGAAUACAUCUGAAAUGAAAAAUCCAAUAUUCACUUUUCAGUCCAUUUCUUCCACUGCUCCCAGCAGCAUGUGUUCUUCUCAACCACCCCAUUCUUAUUGGGUAGUCUCUUUUAGUUUGAUUUCUCUGAUAUACCUCCCCAGCUUCUCUUCCAACUUCUCUUACCACUCUUCUUCGCUUCCUUAAACAUGCUCUUUUUCUCUUUGCCAUCUUGAGUAUUUGUGUUUCUAUAUAAGAAUACGAGACCCACUUUCUCAGAUAAGCAAGAGCUUACUUAGAUCCUAGACCCAGGCUGGGAAUACCACGUCUGAGUAUAUGGAUCAUUUAAGAAACACAAGACACUUUCUUCUACAGUCUGGGGUGGUAACCUGACUGCCAGCUGAAUUUACAGCCAUGAGUGAUAUGGUUUGAAGUGUUGGUGUUCAGACCCAGGGACCAAGAAAGAAUUCUUGAGAUGUCUUUGCUGCAAAAAGGUGAUUUUAUUAAAGCACAGGGACAGGACCUGUGGGCAGAAAGAGCUGCAUGAGGUUGUGAGGAAUAACUGAUUAUACAUUUGGGAGUUGGAGGAGGUAAAGGCAAAGGGAAGUUUCAAAAGGGGCUUUCAUAUGUUAAAUAAGACUCACAGGAUCCCGGAGGCCUAGAUAUUGUCAAGCUAAGGUUGUUUUUCCCUCUAGCAAAGCAUUAACAUUAAGACAGCUGGAGUUCCUGGAAGAAUGUCAUACUCUGCCUGUCUCAAGUUAUACGCCAAUGGGCUGUGGGUUAAAUGGAAAUUUAAUUUUAUCUACAGUUCCUUUUGCCUUUGUUUCCCACUUCAAGGAGGACUAUCCAAACCUAUUGUCAAUAUAAAAGUGUGUGUGUGUGUGAGAGAGAGAGAGAGAGAGAGAGAGAGAGAGAGAGAGAAGGCCGGUGGUGUUGUUGGAGAAGUGGAUAAAGUACACUAAAGAUGGCUGAUUGGAUUAAAACAAACUCUGGUCUCUAGCUUAGAGACCCCUCCUCUGGGCUCUUCUUCCUUUGCUGCGUGCAUGGGAAAACCAUCCCCCCCCACACACACACAAAUAUGGAGGCUGAUAACUAUAAAUUACCCUUCCCGCUCGCAUUCGGAGCUCAGAUCUUUGGAGAAACGGUCUCCUCUGAGCCCACUGGUGUUAAAUAAAUCUCCAAUCCACCAAGGUCUCUGAGAGCCACUUGGUUUUUCUGCCAGAGUUUCAGCCUGAUUCCAUAACAAAUUUGGUUCCCUGACUGGGAAACCCAACAGCGCUGGCCCAUUGUUGCCACCAGUUUGGGAGAAGAGCGAGGCAGUUACAGAAUGAGGGAUCACAAGGGAGAGUGUGCACCCUGCCUAAAUUUCAGCAGUCUCCUUCUCUGUCCCCUUCAGGCCGGCCCACUCCACCGUUCCCACCAGACUUGAGGAUACUUGGCAGGUGAGGACCUGGACCCCACGUCGAACCGUAAGGCUGGGGCCCAAUCUAGUCAGGCCUACUUGCAAGAGUGGAAGGGGGACCUGAUCACUACCUGAGACUUCAGAAGUCUCACAGGUAGGGAUUUUAUGGUAGGGAAUAUAAUAACCUCUGGUGUGUAUGUGAAUGUGAAUGUGUGACUCGGUCUAGCUUGCCUGCUGAGUUAGAUUCUGUGGCUCCACAGGCAGGUGUCCUUGGGGUCCCCAGGGGGGCACGGAGUCUGAGUGGGCCCAUCUGUGAUUCCAUGAUGGAUGGCACUCGGUGUGGCAAUAUCAGAAUGGUUUCUGAUUGUGGGUGGCAGGGCUGGGACCUAUGGGCUGAGCGUCGCCUAGGUUCCUUCAAGACACAGCCAGGAGGGCAUCUGGCUGGUCUCCUCACUGGAGGGGAUGCCCCUGUCCCUCUGUCUUUGUGACUCUGCCUCACAGGAACAUUGUGGGGUUGGGACAGAACAAGGAGAGCCAGGUAAAGGUUUUAGCUGCUUUAUCCGGAGACUCACCCAGGGAGCCAAAGGAGCGACCCACCGCUCCCUUAAUGUUACCCUCUUCAUGACUCUUUAGGCUCCCUCCCCCCUCCCGAGCUUGAAACUCCUCCCCUGGUGGACUGCUGCCACUGCUGCCCCAGCCAGAGCGCUGCUGCUGCUGCAGCAGCCGCCCAUUUCUCCUCCCCUUCCAGGCCAGAGAACCCUCCCCCACAAGGCUCAUGGCCAGAUUGCACCCUAGGCCAAGCACAGGCGCCCUCCAUCAGGGGCAGGCGCUCUCCAGAUGCCAGUCCACAUCCACUGAUAUCAAGAGGCUGUCAGGAAGAUCAGAGCAGGGGUCUGACAAAGCCAUAAAUAUGCCCAGUAGCAAGGGGGAUGCCCAGAACAUCCUUAGCAAGGGGUCAAUGAACCUACUGCAAGGGGAAAGGACAUUAAAAAGAAUAAGUGUCCCAACCAGGGAAAGUCCCCAAAACCCAGCGGAAAUCAGGAGGAACCUCCAGAAGGGGACCUUGUUGGUCUAGCUGAGACAGAACCAGACUAAAAGGGGACACUGAUUCGCUCUCCCUGUUCCUCUGCUUAAUAGAUGUGAGGGAUUCUCCCUCAUUUCCCAGGUUAAAAGCUAUAGUUGGAGCCAACUGUGGUUAGUCUACCUCAGGACAGGGACUUUAAGGAAUAUUCCCAAGAAGUUGCUGCUUCUGCCUUCCCCUUCCCCUCAUGUUUCUGCACCAACUUGGGUGUGGUCCUAUACCAUCCUCAGUGUCUCAGGCACCAUUGGUUCCUCCUCCCACCCUCCAAGUCAAGGAGCAAAGUGCACCCUCCUUGGACCACCCAUUUCAGAUAUCUCCACUGGUGCCCCAAAUGAAAAUUGACAAUGGGGAAAAGUUGAUUGACUUUUAGGUGGAUGCAGUUAAACAUAUUCGAUGUUUAAACUAAUCUAAGUUUAUUGGACCUGUCUUUAAAGUUAUCAGCAAAGGUCAAAUAAGCUCAUGUUAUUUCUGUUGCAGUUUGUUAAUGAUAGUUAAUUUUGUUUGUCUCAAAGUUUUCAUGGGUAAUUGUUAAGAUAACUUUCAAAGUCCUUGGCAACCUGAAACUUUCCAAAUAGUAUGGAAUGCUAAAGCUUUGAUUAUUGAACAUAGGUUUGUGUUUUUAACUUCUUAUUGCUGAGAAAUUAAGGCUAUUCAGACCUAUUGGAAAGCAUGCUUUGUACUUAAUUGAUUCAUGAAUUUACCAUCUAAAAAAAUUCUGAUUAAACACCUCUUAAUUGGUUACCAAGUCCUCAUUUGGAGACUAAAGUUUCCUAAGAGUUUAAAUUUUUCUAAAUAUACUUAAGACUGAUGAAAAUAAAGAAAGCAACUCUGUAUGUAGGAAAAUAGGAGGUAUAUAAGAAAGAUAUAAGGAAUGGAAAUACAGUUUCUUCGAGGGUAGAAGAAAAUAAUUUUGUCCUGAAUGAAACUAGUUAUUUGGAAAGAAAUGUCUUUGGGACAAAAUUUAGAAGCAAAAGAAAGUUAUAGAAGGUUGAGAUGAAUGGAAGUUUAAAAGUACACUAGUAUAAUGUUGAAAUCCUGCUUUUCUCUCUGCUCAAAUGACAAAGUUUUCUUAAACUGUUGAUCUGCUUUUGAUAAGACAAUGCAAACAAAGGUUUAUCCUCCAGGAAAAUCAAAGUUUUAGGUCUCAUCUCUAUCAGGUCUUUGAUUACUUAGUUAAAACUUCUGAAUGUUAAAGGAGCUAGGUUUUGAUAACAACUGUAUAAUGCUGUACAUUCACCUUUGGGAUCUUUUAUUGCCACUUUGGUUGAAUAUAUAAAAUUGUAAGAUUUGUAAUGAUCUGUAAUCCUAUUUAGGAUGCACUUAUGACUUUUGGGGUUUUAACAAACUUCUCAGGAUUUAAAUGGUAAACGAAGUCUUCUUGACCAAUUAGGCUCUUUUAUUUGGGAUGUCAAGUUACUUGGAAAAGCUCUGUCAUACAAUAGUAAACCUUAGAUUGUAUUGCACAGGUAAAUGCUGUAACUGCCUGAAUAUAUGCAAUUCCUAAAAUUUUAAUGUUUUGAUAUAAGGUCAUCACUUAAUAUUCUGAUUACUUGAGAUGUUAUGUGUCACAGAAAUAACCGAAUUUCUUUGUCAAUUGCAUCAUAAUGAACUCUCAUCAGAUCUUUAAUGAUGUCUAUUUCUGAGAUUUUGCCAUUUAUAAUUGUUCUUAUUCUCUCACAAAACAUGUCUCUUCUUCAGGAAGAUUUAUAAAAAGGAAUUUGGGGACAAAUACAGGUAUUCAACAUCCUUAAGAUUAAUACUAAAAUGAGUAAAAAUUUCCAUAACUAAAAAGCUGCAUUCAAAUUGAAUAAGAAUUAGGAACAUGAGAUUAAAUGAACUGAGGAAGAUUAUAGUUUUGUGAUUCUUGUUAAAAAUAUUGUUGGUUCCCUAAUGUUUCCUCUUCCAGAUUAAGGAAACUUUCUCUUAAGAUAACUAUGAUAUAUAAAAAUGUCAUAAAGUAUGCAUUUGUAAACUGAAGCAUUUAUCUUUUCUCUCUACAUAAUUCCCCUGAAAUUCAAAACUCUCAAUGAGUAUUCUUUCUUUCAUGGCAAUUACAAUUGUUUGCAAAAGUUCAAUAAGAAUCUGUUCAUCUUAUAACAGGUCACCAUUUGGAAAUACUGGUUAUUUUACCAAGGCUUUGACUGGAAUGUCAUAUUUGAGGAUGACAUUCAUAGACUCAGAUAUGACCAGACAGCUUUAAGGAAUUAGGGUUGGCUUUAUAAAACAUGGAGCCAUAAAGCCCCUUGGAAGUGUUGGCCUGGUCCCUGCUUACAGAGUUCCCAGCAGCCUCACCGGUUACCAGAAACCUAUCCCUUUGGAAGACUUGGAGGUGGACUUUACAGACAUACAACCAAAUAGAGGAUUCAGUUUCAGGUAUCACCCCAUGGGUUCAUCACUCCAGAGCUAAGAAGGCCAACUCAGAGGAACCUUCAACCUGGCAAAGUGAUCCAGAUCCAGGCAACCCACUUAAACUGACCCUCAAAAAGACACUGGCCCCUGAGAUCUCCAGCCCUGCUCCAACCACACCCUGGAAGUUGGCUGGCCUGUGCAUGGCAGAAGCUUGAGGAAUCAAUAUAUGCACUGAACCCAGGGAUUUGGAUACAACUCUGCCAGCCCUUGCCUUUCACUGGUGUCAUAGCCCUGAUCUUCUUACUGUUGGGCUGAUAGAGACUGCACCAACAAGCUGGACAUGGGACAAAAGAUGUAUGCUGGAUCUCAUAUACCUCCUCUAGAUGGGAGGAUUAUUAAAUAUUGUCUGUAUAUUAUGAUAACCUCUCUCACUUUCACAACUGCCACUUACCCACUUUGCCCCCAGGAUUGUUAUAUGACAAUAAGGGGGUCAAGGUCGUUCAGCACCUUCACCUCCCUCCACAAAGAUUGCUACAAGGGAAAAACACCCACUAUCUGUCAGGCCCCCCGGGGCCCCAAGGACUAAGGUUUGGACCAUGGGGAUAACCCAAAAUGUCAGAAAUCCAUGUCACAACAAGGGCCUCUAGAGAGGGAAGCUUGUUACACUUAGCUUCCUCAAUGGGGGAUCUCAGACAGGGGAGGAAUGCAAGACAGGGCCCUUCAAAAGUUUAUAAAAUAUACCCAGGAUAGGGUAAUAUAAACCAUAAAGGCGACCACUCCCCCAGCAGCCUACCAGUGUUUGAGGCUUUCAGCCCUCAGUCAGAUGCUUACCAAUUCCCCACUCCAGCUUUGGACUAACACUACUCUAAAGUCCUCCAUCAAAUAGAUGAUCACACCCAUACCUGCUGGAUGUGUUUGCCCCUCAGCUGGAGGGCUUACUUAGUCACUCCUAUCCCUUUGACCUGGGAAGCUCCUGAAAAUCUCAAAUCCAACACUUCUGUCUUAAUUGGACCCUGACCACUGGGCUCUGUUUCACAAAUGCCAACAAUCUAAUCUGUACAGUCCCUGAGGGUAUGAAUGGUACCUCUCUAUAAUGAAGAAAUAUAACCUUAAAGAGGAAUACAACCCUAUGUUCAAACCCUAGGGUGUUCUAUCUAUGUUCUAAUUCAGCCUACCAAUGCUUAGAAGCCAACUGGACUCAGAUAUGUUAUUCUGUCUUCCUAACCCCAGAGAUAUCUGUAUACACUGAAGAUCAGCUCCUAACUGCCUUUAGCCCCAAGUCCCAGACUAAACAGGCAGUCCUGCUACCUGUUCUGAUACGAGCAGAAAUUGAGACAGGAAUAGGAACUGGAAUAGGGGGCAUAGGUUCAUCCGUGGGACUAUACCAUAGACAUUCUCAAGAGCUAAAUGAAGACAUGGAACAGGUGGCAGAUUCUCUGGUAACCUUACAAAGCCAAAUAAACUCUUUGGCGGUGGUGACCCUCCAAAAUAGGUGAGCCCUCGACCUCCUCACUUCAGAAAAAGGAGGGACUUGCAUCUUUCUGGGGGAGGAAUGUUGCUAUCUCCUAAACCAGUCAAGAAUAGUUACAACAAAGGUUAAGAAAUUCAAGGAAAGAAUUCAACAUAAACAAUAGGAAAAUAUCAAUCAAUGGAAAGGAUGGAAUCUCACAGAUUGGGCAUCCUGCUUCCUGCCCUGGCGGGGCCCCUCCUCUCCAUAAUUUUACUUGUAUCCAUCGGCCCCUGUAUACUGAAUGCCAUGGUAUGUUUUAUUGAAAACACUGUUUCUUGCCAAACUACUGCACAUAUCUUAGCCUUCUGAGAGUACCAACCUGUAAAACUGAAAGGUGAUGCCUAUUAAAAGUUUUUUUUUUUUUUUAAGGCAUCAAAGGGGGGAAUGUUGGAGAAGUGGAUAAUGUACACCAAAGAUGGCUGAUUGGACUAAAACAAACUCUGGUCUCUAGCUUAGAGAUCCCUUCCUCCGAGCUCUUCUUCCUUUGCUGCCCACGUGAAACCCCCCCCACACACACACACACGCACACACAAAUAUGAAGGCUGAUAAUUAUAAAUUACCCUUCCCGUUCGCAUUCAGGGCUCAGAUCUUUGGAGAAACGAUCUCCUCUGAGCCCGCCGGUGUUAAGUAAAUCUCCAGUCCACCAGGGUCUCCAAGUGCUGCUUGGUUUUUCUGCCAGCAUUCCAGCCUGAUUCCAUAACAGUGUGAGAAGGGAGAUGAUUCAUUUUCAGAAAUACCAAAUAAAAGCUGUGCUGUCUAGUUAACAGUAGGUUUACAACCUAUUGGAAAUAUGUACAACUUCUCCCCACCACAGUGGAGUCCCAAACACUUAGACCCUUCACUUCCUGGUUCUUCUUCCCCUCUCUGUUUCGUGGACUUAUUUUCCCGGGUUUAUUUUCAUGGGCUUUGCAAUGAGCAUGCACCAAAGAACAAAGGGAGGAAGGACUGAAAAUCUCUGUGUCACCUUAGUGAAUGUACAUUUGUUCCAAUCAGACUACUUUUUGUCUUACUUUGGCAUGGGUGACAUCCAGGUGAUAAGGGAGCAUGGGGUGGGCUGACAAAGUGCAAGCUAGCACACCCAACCCCCUCCCCCCCCCCAGGUGGGAUGUGUGAUAUUUUUCAGGCACUCCUGUCUGCCCCAGGACAAAGGAAAGGAAAGAAAACAAAUGGCCAACUGAUAGAGAUCACAGUCAUACAGGACAUUUGUCUCCAUGAUUUUAUCUUAAUAAAUUACAAGAAAAAGGCAAUCUUAUUAGGCAAGAAAAAGCCUAAUCUCCAGAAACCUAUGGACUCAGUUUCCUGGAGCCCCAACAUCACCCCUCCAUAGUGAUAUGGAGAACAAAGGCAAGAAGGAAAUGGCAGGUAAAAUUAAAUUUUCUGGUGACCUGCAGCCCAUUGACAAAUACUUGAGGCAAAUAGAGUAUAAAAUUUCUCCAGGAACUCCCUACCGUCCUAAUGUUAAUGCCUUACCAGAAGGAAAACAACCUUAGCUUAACAAUAGCAAGGCCUCAGGUAUCUUAAGAGUCCUCUUUAGCAUAUCAAAGUCCCUCUGGAAGCCUCCCUUUUGACUUUACCUCCCCAACUCCAUAGUAUAAAACCAUUCUUCACAACCCCAGCGCAACUCUUUCUGCCCAUGGGUCCUGAUCCUGUGCUUUAAUAAAAUCACCUUUUUGCACCAAAGACAUCUUCAAGAAUUAUUUCUUGGUCAUUGGCUCUGGACCCCCCACCAUCACCCCAAAACCUCAUCAUGGGUAAGGCUGUAACCUCUGUAGUACUCAGCCAAAGAGGAACCAGGGGAGGGACUUGCAUGCUAGGAGAUAAAUUGUCUGCUGUAACUGCCCUAAGUGUGCCUGUUCAUCAGACACCUGCUCUUGCAAGAACGUUGAUUAAAGCCUCCCUUCACUGUG